RNAcentral lists this ribosomal RNA (255 nucleotides) under uncultured bacterium. RNAcentral's name for it is "partial 16S ribosomal RNA". It matches the Rfam family "Bacterial small subunit ribosomal RNA", at positions 524 to 776 of the family's 1533-position model. The record is from RNAcentral.
UACGUAGGGUGCAAGCGUUGUCCGGAAUUAUUGGGCGUAAAGAGCUCGUAGGCGGUUUGUCGCGUCGAAUGUGAAAACCCGGGGCUCAACCCCGGGCCUGCAUUCGAUACGGGCAGACUAGAGUUCGGUAGGGGGAGUCUGGAAUUCCUGGUGUAGCGGUGAAAUGCGCAGAUAUCAGGAGGAACACCGGUGGCGAAGGCGGGUCUCUGGGCAGUAACUGACGCUGAGGAGCGAAAGCGUGGGGGAGCGAACAGG